GUGGUUGUAGCUCAGUGGUAGAGCGCUUGCCUCGUAUAUGUGAGUCACUGGGUUCGAGUCUCAGCACCACA
Molecule: transfer RNA, 71 nt
Filed under: Marmota monax (woodchuck)
Lineage: Eukaryota; Metazoa; Chordata; Mammalia; Rodentia; Sciuridae
Rfam family: tRNA
About the family: Transfer RNA (tRNA) molecules are approximately 80 nucleotides in length. Their secondary structure includes four short double-helical elements and three loops (D, anti-codon, and T loops).
Source: Rfam by way of RNAcentral